GGUGACAUGGUUAAUAACAGGCUACUUUUUAAUACAUUUAUCAUUAAUUAUAAUUAUAGAUGAAAUUAGAGUGAUAAAUGGGGAUUCUCAUAAUUUGCUAUGCAUGAAAAUAUUUUCAUGUAUUAUUUUUAAAAGAAAAAUAUUUAACUGUUAUUUACAGAAGGUGACAUUUCAAAAGGCCCGAGAAAACUCUGUCAAGACAGCCCGCUUGCCAAUCCAGGAAUACAUGGUCAGACGCCAGAAUGAGAAAAACUACCAUUCAGAGAUAUUGGCCAUCAAUCAAGUAUUUGAUAUCCUGUCCACUUACUUUGAGACUCAAAACUGGCCUGAAGCAUUGAAGAAAGGAGUUUCUUCCAGAAAAGGCUAUGUUCUUCAGAACUCAGUGGAAUGAUGGACAUCCUAAGAGUGCACCUGCAGGAGGUGAAGUUGCUGGAGGGGCCUUGACCAAAGAGGAGAGCAAAGUGGUGAUGGCACACACUUGCCUUUACUUGACAUCUCGGAUCUUCAUUAGGAUGUUGUUAAUAACAGGGACCACAUUUUAUGCUCUUUUGUAUCUCCUAUAGUGCCUAGCUCACAGGAAGUGCCCUGUUUAUCUUGACUAAGUAAAAAGUUUACAUAACAAGGAAUUAGCCCUUCAACUAC
Molecule: long non-coding RNA, 642 nt
Organism: Myotis davidii
Lineage: Eukaryota; Metazoa; Chordata; Mammalia; Chiroptera; Vespertilionidae
Exons: 2
Source: RefSeq, a predicted model, not a curated record